GCUCCGGUAGUGUAGCACGGCCAAUCAUAUCGGACUUUCAAUCCGAUGACUCGGGUUCAAAUCCCGACCGGAGCA
This 75-nucleotide transfer RNA is filed under the name Methanobacteriota archaeon. RNAcentral's name for it is "Euryarchaeota archaeon tRNA-Glu". It matches the Rfam family "tRNA". Rfam says of the family: Transfer RNA (tRNA) molecules are approximately 80 nucleotides in length. Their secondary structure includes four short double-helical elements and three loops (D, anti-codon, and T loops). Further hydrogen bonds mediate the characteristic L-shaped molecular structure. tRNAs have two regions of fundamental functional importance: the anti-codon, which is responsible for specific mRNA codon recognition, and the 3' end, to which the tRNAs corresponding amino acid is attached (by aminoacyl-tRNA synthetases). tRNAs cope with the degeneracy of the genetic code in two manners: having more than one tRNA (with a specific anti-codon) for a particular amino acid; and 'wobble' base-pairing, i.e. permitting non-standard base-pairing at the 3rd anti-codon position. Lineage: Archaea; Methanobacteriati; Methanobacteriota. The record is from RNAcentral.